ACAGUGGUAGUAGCAUAGAAAUAGUAAUAGUAGUAGCAAUGGCAGUAGCAGUAGCAAUAAUAGCAGUAGUAAUAGCAGCAGUAACAGUAGUAGAAGUCGUAAUAAUAGCAGCAGUAACAGCAGCAGUAGUAGUAGCAAUAACAGUAUUAGCAGUAGUCGUAAUAACAGUGAUAGUAGUAGUAGUAGCAGGAGUAGUAGUAGUAACAGUAGCAGUAUUAGCAGCAGCAGUAGUAGUAGUAGUAACAGUAGUAGUAGUAAUAAAAAUAAUAGCAGUAACAGUAGUACCUGCUAUAGUUGUAGUAUCGGUAAUAACAACAGUAAAAGUAAUAGUAGUAAUAGCAGUAGCAGUAGAUUAGUAGUAGUAGUAAUACUAGUACCUAUAAAUACUCAUGUACUUGAAAGCUUUUAAUAUCAACCACAAAUCAAAACUUGAGUUUCUCAAUUAGUCUCUCUUAGUUUUUCCGCUCAUAU
RNAcentral lists this long non-coding RNA (471 nucleotides) under Carica papaya (papaya). Its description in RNAcentral is "long non-coding RNA (CPAP_LNC011953)". Lineage: Eukaryota; Viridiplantae; Streptophyta; Magnoliopsida; Brassicales; Caricaceae. The record is from RNAcentral.